AGGCGGCGGUGCUCAGUGGUCGGUUACUGAGGGGCCUUGUGGCAACAAGGUGACAUAGGACAAACAGCACUCAGGUGAGCACCUGGAAAAGGCUGUUGAAGCACACAGGCACUAGAACUACUUUAUGAGCAUAAUUCCUUGGACCAUAAUCGUCACCUGAGGAAGCCGCGUGAGACACCAGUCUUAGGAUUCCAAAGUGAAGAGGAACGUGCCCUCCUCGAUGAACGCCUGUGGAAGCCUUUGAGCAGCCCUUUCAUGGCGGAAGAGAGGGCAACUCUGAGGUGAUGGAGCAGCGGCUAGGCAGAGGGCUGCUGAGGAAGCAGAGGGAGGAUCGCUUCAGCUCUCGGCAGGCUGGAGCCUCAGAGCAAACCUCAAGUAACUUUCUGUGGAUGCUGUGAGGGUUUCCAUUGCUGUGAAGAGUCACCACAACCAAGGCAACUCUUACAAAGGACAACAUUUAAUUGGGGCUGGCUUACAAUUUCAGAGGUUUAGUCCAUUAUCAGCUUGGCAGGAAGCAUGGUGGCGUCCAGGCAAACAUGAUGCUGGAAAAGGAACUGAGAGCUUUACAUCUUGAUCCAACUGCAUCCAAGAGAAGAUUGACUGUCUCCCAGGCACCUAGGAGGAGGGAAUCAAAGCCGACCCCACAGUGAAACACUUUCUCCAACAAGGCCACACCUCCUAAUAAUGCCACUCCCUGGGCCAAGCAUAUUCAAAGCACCACACCAUCAUUGGGAACUCACUUUCACAAAUGAGAAUGUAGAGGCAGUGUUAGGACAGAGUCAGACUUUAGGUGUAGAUAUUGCCAUUCUAAAGACCAUGCUCCUGAUGGCUAUUCCAUUACUACCUGUCUUAAGGACACUGACAUUGAUACUUUGUGGGAAUUUUACAUCUUAUACAUGAGGAUUCCUAGUAGUCAUUUAACGUCUAUACCUUCUUCCCCCCCCCUUUAUCUUGCAAACUACUUAUAUUUGAGUGUCUAUUUUUAGAAACUUCUAUGCAACACUUUCACUCUGAUGUGGUGACUUCCAAGUAAUAUAGGUACAGACUAUAAGCCAUGUCUUGGCCAUGAGGACUCUCAGUAUCCUGUACAAAUUAAUGACUUCCCAUUCUCCUUAAUGUUAGCUUAGUCUUGUUAAUCACCAUUAAAUUUAAUUUUAACAAGAUACAUGCAUGCCAAUUGGCUCCUCUAAAUUUAUUUCUUGUAGGUAGAUAUUCCUAUGAUCCUGUAUUUCACCAUGGUCAGAUUAACAAUUUUUGCUCAGCAAUAUUAGCAUUGUGUUAACAUUCACUGCCUGAAUGCACAGUACUUGGCUUCUCUUUGCAAGUGUUAUUGAGAAGGAAAUAGCCAUUUUGCUAAGGAGCAACAUUUUAAAUUUGCUUUAUUUCUAGAUUGUGAGGACUUCCUUUGCUUUUGUUUGAUGAUUUUUAAAUGGUAUUUGUGCGCUGGUUAAAAGGGCAGCCUCAGAGGACCCCAACUGUAUUGGUGCCACAUUAAUGGAAGAAAGCUCAGCGCAUCCAUUUGAAUUAAUUCCACAGAGACAGAGCUCAAGUUUGAAGCCUCCACUUCUGUCUCUGACACAUCUUCCAUCUGUCAGUAGCUUAUGGCUUUUGGCCUAUCUGAAAUAUGUAAGGUGUGUGUGGCCGCCCUGUUCUGAUUGCCUAAGUGUUGUCCUCAACAAAAAGUUUUCUCGCUAUUGCUUGGACAGCACAGAACCUUGGCAUGGGGGGUGAAUGAGGGAGGAGACUUUACAGAAAGCUUUAUCAGAGCUUUACAAGCAGUUUAACUUGCCAGACCCCGGAGCACUCAGAGCGACAUACCCUUUUCAAGCAAUACCCGUGCACUGUUUCCAACGUUUAUGGUGAAUAUUCAUUGUAUACAUUGCUUUUGACCUGAUUGCUGCUUUCAACAAAUGGUUGCCAUAACAUGCAUACAAACACACAUGCAUUGCUCUCUGGGUCAGAGGCAAGAAAUAAUGAACACUUCCAGAUUAUAGUUGUGCCUUAGCCCUGCAUGUACAUGCUAAUUAUUUGGAAAAUCCGGGGCAAGUAAGGUUGGCUAUGUUAUUCUCUUAAAGACAGGUUAAACAGACAACCUGAGCACACAGCAGGGUAUCAGGCUAAAUCUUAAGUGACCUCCACACGUAUUUCUUAACAUGACUGUGAGUUCCCAUCUCUUUGAGUGUAAGAGAUAUUUUCAUACAAAUGCAUUAACACAUACUUGACACCCAAAAGGAAGAUAACAGAGGUUUCUUGUCCUCAUUUAAACAGAAGGUGGGAAAGGGUACAAAUUAAUGAGAAAGCUGUGGGUUCCUUUUCUCCCUAUCUUUGUCUUGUUGUCAAGAGGGCCGUGCGAACACUUAUUAAAGGUUAUUUUUGAAUC
Molecule: long non-coding RNA, 2380 nt
Filed under: Mus musculus (house mouse)
Lineage: Eukaryota; Metazoa; Chordata; Mammalia; Rodentia; Muridae
Description: RIKEN cDNA 6030443J06 gene
Source: RNAcentral